CAGUCGCCACGGUAAUACGAGGGGGGCAAGCGUUGUUCGGAAUUAUUGGGCGUAAAGGGCGCGUAGGCGGUUUGGCAAGUUUGGUGUGAAAUCUUCGGGCUCAACUCGAAGUCUGCAUCGAAAACUGCCGGGCUUGAGUAUGGGAGAGGUGAGUGGAAUUUCCGGUGUAGCGGUGAAAUGCGUAGAUAUCGGAAGGAACACCUGUGGCGAAAGCGGCUCACUGGACCAUAACUGACGCUGAGGCGCGAAAGCUAGGGGAGCAAACAGGAUUAGAUACCCCGGUAGUCCCUGUCUCUUAUAU
RNAcentral lists this ribosomal RNA (301 nucleotides) under uncultured bacterium. Its description in RNAcentral is "partial 16S ribosomal RNA". It matches the Rfam family "Bacterial small subunit ribosomal RNA", at positions 509 to 809 of the family's 1533-position model. The record is from RNAcentral.